CUCUGACAAGGGCAAACCGUCGGUGACGGCGGGGCGCAAAGCCAAGGGGUCUCGGGCGGGAGCAGCCGAGACAGCCCAGCUGCCGGA
This 87-nucleotide non-coding RNA is filed under the name Gemmatimonadota bacterium. RNAcentral's name for it is "Gemmatimonadetes bacterium c-di-GMP sequence". It matches the Rfam family "c-di-GMP-I riboswitch aptamer". Rfam says of the family: GEMM was predicted in a large-scale screen for bacterial structured RNA regulatory elements. Genes associated with GEMM are involved in a diverse array of functions, including chemotaxis regulation, signal transduction, secretion and chitin. Lineage: Bacteria; Pseudomonadati; Gemmatimonadota. The record is from RNAcentral.